This 495-nucleotide ribosomal RNA is filed under the name uncultured bacterium. RNAcentral describes it as "partial 16S ribosomal RNA". It matches the Rfam family "Bacterial small subunit ribosomal RNA", at positions 28 to 507 of the family's 1533-position model. The record is from RNAcentral.
GACGAACGCUGGCGGCGUGCCUAAUACAUGCCAGUAGAACGCUGAAGGAGGAGCUUGCUUCUCUGGAUGAGUUGCGAACGGGUGAGUAACGCGUAGGUAACCUGCCUGGUAGCGGGGGAUAACUAUUGGAAACGAUAGCUAAUACCGCAUAAGAGUAGAUGUUGAAUGACAUUUGCUUAAAAGGUGCAAUUGCAUCACUACCUGAUGGACCUGCGUUGUAUUAGCUAGUUGGGGGGGUAACGGCUCACCAAGGCGACGAUACAUAGACGACCUGACAGGGUUAUCGGCCACACUGAGGCUGAGACACAGCCCGGACCCCUACGGGAGGCAUCAGUAGGGAAUCUUCGGCAAUGGACGGAAGUCUGACCGAGCAACGCCGCGUGAGUGAAGAAAGUUUUCGGAUCGUAAAGCGCUGUUAUAAGAGAAGAACGGAUGUGGGAGUGGAAAGUUCACACUGGGACGGUGUCUUACCAGAAAGGGACGGCUAACGACGUG